AUGAAGAGGAGCAAGAAGCAUCAAUGUCCUCCCCAAAGCCCCAAGGGAGACUUAGGCAGUCCUGCUCAUCCCCGGAUCAAGAAAAAAAUGAUUGUUGAAGGUUCAGCAGAAGCAUCCACUGUGCACCAGAAUUUCGGAAAGCAAAAUAUCAAAAUCCAUAGAGAAGUCGCUCAAGCUAGUGCUGACAAAGUCUCCAAAUUCAAGUUGUUUCCAUUAACUUUGGUUGUCUCGGCCAGGCAGUGGUUCAAUAGUCUGUCGGAUGGAGCAUUGAAUCGUGGACUAAUUUUUGUGUGA
Molecule: non-coding RNA, 294 nt
Organism: Vicia faba (fava bean)
Lineage: Eukaryota; Viridiplantae; Streptophyta; Magnoliopsida; Fabales; Fabaceae
Source: the annotation of a GenBank genome assembly